Molecule: non-coding RNA, 82 nt
Organism: Podospora conica
Lineage: Eukaryota; Fungi; Ascomycota; Sordariomycetes; Sordariales; Podosporaceae
Source: the annotation of a GenBank genome assembly
GGCGUGUUGGCAGAGUGGUCUAAUGCGUAAGACUUGAAAUCUUAUUCCUUCGGGAGCGCCUGUUCGAACCAGGCACACGUCG